UGUUGCAGAUAUUCGUAGGCGGAGGUAGUACUACCAAAGGGAAAAAAAAAAGCCGAUGAACAUAGCCCUGGAUAGUGCUUCUUUUCUCUCUGAUUCUCCAUUGAAGUGCACUCAACAUCCCACUUCACGUUUUCCCCAUUGAAGCAGUUUCCGAGGUAAGUUGUUUCUUUUAGUAAUCAUCAUAUCAAUUUCAAAAUCUAGGGUUCAUCUUUCAUCUAAUCUAAUUUAAUUAUCUCAAUUAUAUUGGUUCUAAAUACUAAUAGUAUGAAAGAUCAUAACCAGCGAAAAAACAAAAUUAUGUAUUUUUUCCCUGGGCAUAGGGCGGCCGCCCCUCCUGCCCUGCUUCAGGGACGGGCCUGCCUCUUGGUUGUUUAAUUUGUGCUAAUCUUGGUCUGGAUUGUUUUGAUUUUGGUUUUUACCUUGAUCUUAAGGAAUUGAUAAUGUGGUUGAGUUUGAUUUAAAUCUUAUACUUGAUUAAGGUAUCUCGUAGAAAUUCUAAAUUCAAUUUUGUCUCUUUAAAAUUCAGAAUUUCAGAAUUUGCACAAGAUGUAGAAUUUUUCUUGUUUGUCUAAUUUGUUGUUGUUGAACUUUUGAUGCUAUUGUUGUCUAAUUUGUUGUUGAGGAUAAACGAGCCCAACCCAAUCUGACAUGAUAUGGAUAUGAGGUUGAAACGUUGUACCAGCACCACUACUACCUUGCAAGAGGACGUUCAUAAUAGAAACCUUGAUAGACUUACUUGCCUACCUGAUGAAUUGUUAAUUUAUAUAAUUUCUUCACUUCCUACUAAGGAUGCUGCUGCUGCUUGCACCUCCUCUAAGAGGAUGAUUAACAAUAUAUUCCAUUCGCUUACCAGCCUUAACUUUGAUGAUUCGCCUAUAAGUCAUUGUUUGGUGACACCCUAUGCAAUCGAACGUUUCCCCACUUUUGUUGCCUUUGUAGACUCCGUUCUCCUAUCAUACCACUCUCGCUAUCUUACAAGCUUUAGUCUUGGAGUGGGUGCGCCUGUGUUCAGAGGUCCAGGUAUAAUCCCAAGCAUAAAGAAUAUCGGUGUCGCAACGGCUGUUGUCCAGACUUGAAAUCCUCGCAUAUUAAUGCUUGGAUUUCUUUUCCUUUAACCUUUUCUGGACUCAAGGAGCUCAACCUCCGUAUUAAUGUGAGGGAAGAAGGGGAUAUUCAGCUGCCACCGGAAAUUUUCACGUGUGAGACAUUAGAGAUUUUGAAGCUUGAUACUAACCUUGGUCUUGAAUCUUGAUCAAGCUUCAACCUCUACAUCCUUCCGUCUUCCCAGCCUGAAACUACUCUCCUUUCGUGCUGCUAUGAUUCCCGACGAUGGCCUUGUGACAAGGCUUGUUUCAAGCUGCCCUAUACUUGAAGAUCUCACUUUGGUUGCAACCUGGAAACAUGCCUGUUAUAUAAGUAUCUCUUCAUCUUCUCUUCGGAGACUAUCUCUGGAAGUGUGGAACAAAUUUGAGGAGCAUCACAGCAGUGACUUGGUACUUAUUCAUACUCCUAAUUUGGAGUAUCUUCACUACACUUAGCAUCACAUUACAACAUCACAAACAUGGAUCGCCUUGUCGAAGCAGACCUUGAUAUUGAAAAUGACUUAUUGGAGGUUGCAUUUGAGGUUUCUGGCCAGCUAAAACUCAGCCUUUUGAGGCCAUUGUCUAAUGUUCAGCAUUUAACUUUGAUCGAUUUAUUUUUACAGAAUUAAACCAUGAAGAUUUAAAGGAUCAACUGCCGGUGUUUUGUUAUUUGAAGUGUUUAGAACUGGGUUUCUAUGAAGGUAGCUUUUGGGAUAGUAUAUUAUUGGGAUUUCUUAAUUGUUCGCCUGUCUUGGAAACACUUGUAUUCCCUGAGGGGUUAACUGCAUAGCCUGAUUGCCAUGAGGAGGAGGAACUUGCUUCAGAACAACAGUUUUGCAGAACAGCUCUAGCAGAUGUGCCUACCACAUGUUGCAGAUAUCAUCUUAAAUAAAUUGUGAUUAAAAGUUUCUUGGGAUAUGACAGGGAAAUAGAUUUGAUCCAAUUUUUCCUGACGUAUGCAUUAGUUCUGGAGAAUUUGGUCAUAUACCCGGGUCGCAGUGCAAAUGUAGAUCAAAUGAUGACAGUUGAGAGCACACUGCAAAACUUACCGCGUGCCUCUGUCACCUGUUCAAUUCAAGUAGUGUAGAUUUGGAUAGUUGAUUUGUUGUAAUUGCUUCAAUUUUGGCAUUUUUCUGAUGUUAAUUGCUGCCCUAGUACUUUGCUUUUGAUGAUAAUUGAUUGUUUUAACAAUGUCAAUCUUGUGAUUUCAGGGAAUAUAAGUUGAAAUUCUUGAUUUGAGAA
Molecule: long non-coding RNA, 2324 nt
Organism: Chenopodium quinoa (quinoa)
Lineage: Eukaryota; Viridiplantae; Streptophyta; Magnoliopsida; Caryophyllales; Amaranthaceae
Exons: 3
Source: RefSeq, a predicted model, not a curated record